This 1515-nucleotide long non-coding RNA is filed under the name Anser brachyrhynchus (Pink-footed goose). RNAcentral's name for it is "lncRNA (ENSABRG00000017302.1)". Lineage: Eukaryota; Metazoa; Chordata; Aves; Anseriformes; Anatidae. The record is from RNAcentral.
CUCUAUUUCUAAAAGCUCAUCACAUUAUUCACUGAGAAAUAUAAAUAAAUAUGAAAGGGACAGGCCCCUUCUGUCAGAACGGUGAUAUGAGUUGUUGGUAAAGGUGUGGGCUUUUGUCACAUCUCUCUUCUGAAAGGUUAUUGAAAGUGUGGGGCCAUCAAUCAGAAAGGUAAAGAUUAUUUCAGCAAUUGCUGCACAGACGGUUUGCAGCCACCUCAUCUUCUGGCAAAGAACUGUGCUCCAUUUAUGAAAUUCAUUUCAUGUGUGUGUUAAGCACAAAGGAUGUAUACUACUUAAAUUCCACCAUCCGUGAUGUAUAUUAGGGCUUGUCUCAGCAUGUUGCAUAAAAGUUAUCAGACCGAAAAGCUGGUGUCACGGUGCUCCAACAUUGUAGCAAUGGAGGAAGAUUUGGUGCUGGCAACUAUUCUUACAACAUACAGAACAGAGCAUGAAGGUGAGGAAACAUGUUGUAUUUGAUCAAACCUUUAAUAUGUGAUAUUCUUGGGCAUUUUUGCAGGACAAUGCUCUAAUACACAUCUACUCCUCAAAUACUUUACAUUACAGUCUGUGACUGAACUUUGGAGGGCUUUCAGAGAGGAGCGGUGUACAUCAGCUGACAUGAGCUCAUGUGGUUAAAAAGAAGCAUGGCAAAGUGACAUCAAACACGUCUGAUUCCAGCCUGACAUAACUAAUAGACAAAAACCUCUCUGUUAUUCUAUUCCAUAGUGAACAACUUGAUCUGAAUGCAAGGAUUCUGUAUUUCCACUGGUGAAACUGAAGAACAGUUUCAUCCUUUGCCCUGUCUGUCUUUUUAAACCUGCUAAUUUGUAUUUAUGACUAUAAAUACAGAGAUCAUACCGCAGGUCAAGCAUUUUCUAGAAUUCUCUGGUGUAGAGACUCACUCAGUAAAACACAUCCUGUAGUUUUAGCUGGCAAAUAUAACAGAAACAAGAAUGAAAGUAAUAAGAUCUUAGGCACUUAGGGGGAAAAAAAAAGAAAAAAAAAAAAGAUUGUUAUCUACAUUUUUCAUUUGCUGUUAGUGAGAAAAGUAGCCAGCAAUAUGUAGGUCAGCAUCAGUAGCUGCUUUGGUAGUCUGAGAACAGUUUAAAGGAAGGAAGAGGUUUCUCUUUGUGGUUGAAUAAGUUACUCUAUAUCCAUGAAGUAGCUGUGUCUCACCCCCAAAGGGAGAAGCAUUAUCAGCAAAUGAAUGAACAGGCAUUCUGUGUUAUGCCAGUAGCACUGUCUUUGAAAACAAGGGAGACAAGAAAAACAGAUUUGGUGUGGCUUUUAUUUUCCUGUCGACCAUUGUAAUGGAGCUCCUCCAUUAACUCAUUCUUGUCAGGUUGAAUUGAAAGUGACAGUUAAUAACUUACACCAGCAUCUGCUUUCACUUGAUUGCAAUAGAGCUCUGCAGUGUCCUCACAGUGUUUGGAGAGACAUGGUUUGUGGGCAGAGGUACUAUCUUGUAUUAGAGUAUUAGGCACAGAUGGAUCAAAAUAAAAAGAUAUGCUCUUG